AAAAAGUCGUAACCAUCAUCUACAACCCUGACUUGACUUCCUAAACAUGCAACGUACAUUUGCAUUUGUAAAAUAUAGCUAACAAAAUGCUUCUCUGACCUGUUGUUUGUAUGAGUUCUGGCUAAAGGUUCAUUUGAAAAAAGAUCCAACUUCUAAUAAUAUGCGUAUAAAAUCACCGUCCCAAGAAAAUGAUCAUUUCUUACUUGAAGGUUUAGCUUCAAGCAGACUCACGGCAGCUCUGUUUGUAACAGGGGUCAGCCAACUAUGGCCCAUGGGCUACAUUUGGCCACCCCCUGUUUUUGUAAUAAAGUUUUAUUUAAACAAACAAAUUCCUUUAUGCAUUCUGGCUGCUUUUGCCUAUAAUGGAAGAAUUAAAUCGUUGCAGCAGAGACUUUAGGCCCCACAAAAAGUAGGACAUGCGUUAUCUGGCCCUUGACAGGAAACGCUUGCUAACUCCUGGUUCUUACUGAGGGAAAAUUACAAGCAGCCUGAAUGUUCAAGAAAAGGGGAUUGGUCAAAUUACUACAGCGCAUCCCUUCAGCAAAUAGAGUGCCCGGCCCCUGGUGCUGUUGGCAGCCGCCACUUGCCAGUUCUGGCUUGGAAUCCCUGCCUUCUCACCAGCACUACCUGUUGACCCUUUUCUCCAUGUAACCUGCGUCCCCUAGCCCCACAUUGGGUCCCUUCUGCAUAAUGAAGGCCUUUCAGUCUUCCGGGGGAUGCUCGCUUUUAAUAAAAAUGGCAGUAGUCGUUGCCAUUGACCCUGCCUGGGCCUGGGCUUACAUCCUCUCUCUUUCUCAGCCUCACCUGCGCAGGGCGUGUGAUAGCAUUCCCAUCUGACAGGUAAGGCUCAGAGAGGUGAAGGAACCCAUUCAAGGUCACACAGCUGACUCUCCAGUUUUUAGCUGGACCCAUGGAUGCGUGAGAUGAAGACUCUAUUUCCCAUUGUCCUUUGCGGCUGGCUGUCAUCACGUGACUCGGUGCUGGCCAAUAGAAUAAAUAAUCCAGCUAAUAAAUGAAGAAGCGAUGAUGGGAUGUCACCAUGUUAACCCCCAGGGAAUUACCGGGUCUAGGCUGCUAAUGUCAUAAGAAGGAGGCCAACUAGACGUUAUGUCCUUUCUGUGGGAGAACACAACACCUACUACGAAGGACACUUGCCAAAAAAACAGAACAAAACAAAACCCAGAUCUUAAUCUGAUCAAACCUCUAGACUUGAAUAC
Ailuropoda melanoleuca (giant panda) is the source of this 1217-nucleotide long non-coding RNA. RefSeq lists it as uncharacterized. The transcript has 3 exons. NCBI's taxonomy places the organism in Eukaryota, Metazoa, Chordata, Mammalia, Carnivora, Ursidae. The record is from RefSeq and is a predicted model, not a curated record.